UAAAUAGUCCGGCCGGCUUUUGCUGGUCGCAGACUUCUUAGAGGGACUAACAGCGUUUAGCUGUUGGAAGUUUGAGGCGAUAACAGGUCUGUGAUGCCCUUAGAUGUUCU
RNAcentral lists this ribosomal RNA (110 nucleotides) under Zyzygomyces bachmannii. RNAcentral's name for it is "Heterocephalacria bachmannii partial small subunit ribosomal RNA". It matches the Rfam family "Eukaryotic small subunit ribosomal RNA", at positions 1352 to 1483 of the family's 1831-position model. The record is from RNAcentral. Lineage: Eukaryota; Fungi; Basidiomycota; Tremellomycetes; Filobasidiales; Filobasidiaceae.